CGCUUUAUAGUGUAAAAAACAUAUUGUAUUUUCAUUACAAAGCUGAAACUUUUUCUAAAGCAU
This 63-nucleotide transfer RNA is filed under the name Macrophthalmus darwinensis. RNAcentral's name for it is "tRNA-Glu". The record is from RNAcentral. Lineage: Eukaryota; Metazoa; Arthropoda; Malacostraca; Decapoda; Macrophthalmidae.